RNAcentral lists this transfer RNA (72 nucleotides) under bacterium. RNAcentral's name for it is "tRNA-Arg". It matches the Rfam family "tRNA". Rfam says of the family: Transfer RNA (tRNA) molecules are approximately 80 nucleotides in length. Their secondary structure includes four short double-helical elements and three loops (D, anti-codon, and T loops). The record is from RNAcentral.
GCUCCCGUAGUGAAAUGGAUAUCACAACAGUCUUCGGAACUGUUGUUGCAGGUUCGAGUCCUGCCGGGAGCA